Molecule: ribosomal RNA, 429 nt
Filed under: Triticum aestivum (bread wheat)
Lineage: Eukaryota; Viridiplantae; Streptophyta; Magnoliopsida; Poales; Poaceae
Description: partial small subunit ribosomal RNA
Source: RNAcentral
AUGUUGCUGACAUCUUGGUUGAUGGAUCACUGCAUUCGGCUUUGUUGCCUCUACUCAGCUUUCCCCAUCCUAAGCCCAGAAGAUGAUGAUACUCUUUAUCUCAAAUCUCUGGUGGAACCGAAUGAUAGGGAUGGAUGGGUGGCCGCCGUUGACGUAGGAAACAAGGCAGUGAAAGCAAUUGGAACGUAUAAUCUUCCGGAUGAUUUUUAUUACGACCGUGGUCAUGAUCCUGAACAUCCUUUCCGUGCCUGUACCCUGUCCCGCCAUCUUGAUAUGACUCCAGGCACUGAGGUCUCAGCGUGUCGCAAGAUCAGAGAGGCUAGUUGGUCUGCAAACCAUCCAAGCAACACCUCGGUAAGUAGUGAUUUCGCAUCACUUUUUAUUUCAAAGAAUUUCUGCCAACUAACUUGCCCUCUCUUCUGUGCAUAG